AGAUGUGAGGGUGAUCUGGCUGAAUCAUCUGUCACCCCAUUGAUCACCAGGGGUGAUAUGGAUGAUCUGACUGUCUAGGUGGGUGUCCCCUUUCUCCCUCACUGCUCCAUGUGCAUCCCUCCCGAAGCUGCGUGCUCUCUGUCGAAGAGGAUGACCAUUCCCGAAUAAAUGAGGAUCAAUCUUCAGUCAAGGGUAUACUAGUAGCUGUUAUUCCCGGCUAGAACCUCCAAACAAGCUGUCAAGAAGUUUUUUUUUUUUUUUACCUGUAAGUUAGGUACAAAAUAUAUUUUAAAUAAUAUAUUUUU
RNAcentral lists this small nuclear RNA (305 nucleotides) under Rattus norvegicus (Norway rat). RNAcentral's name for it is "7SK RNA". It matches the Rfam family "7SK RNA". Rfam says of the family: 7SK was discovered as an abundant small nuclear RNA in the mid-70s but a possible function has only recently been suggested. Two independent studies have found that 7SK RNA binds the CDK9/cyclin T complex (known as elongation factor P-TEFb). Lineage: Eukaryota; Metazoa; Chordata; Mammalia; Rodentia; Muridae. The record is from Rfam by way of RNAcentral.